CUACGGGUGGCUGCAGGCGCGAAACCUUUACAAUGCACGAAAGUGUGAUAAGGGGAUCCCGAGUGCUUUACUUUUAAGUAAGGCUUUUGCCAAGAGUAAAAAUCUUGGCGAAUAAAUGGUGGGUAAGACUGGUGCCAGCAGCCGCGGUAACACCAGCGCCAUGAGUGGCAAUCAGCAUUAUUGGGCCUAAAGCGUCCGUAGCCUGUUUAGUCUGUUUUUUGUGAAAUCGUUUGGCUUAACUAAACGUUGUGCAAAAAAUACUGCUAAACUUGAAACCGGGAGGAGUCAGAGGUAUUCUAAGGGGAGCGGUAAGAUGCUAUAAUCCUUGGAAGACCACCUGUGGCGAAGGCAUUUGACUAGAACGGCUUUGACGGUGAGGGACGAAAGCUAAGGGAGCAAACCGGAUUAGAUACCCCCGUAGUC
RNAcentral lists this ribosomal RNA (423 nucleotides) under uncultured archaeon. Its description in RNAcentral is "partial 16S ribosomal RNA". It matches the Rfam family "Archaeal small subunit ribosomal RNA", at positions 323 to 746 of the family's 1478-position model. The record is from RNAcentral.